GAAAUGCGAUAAGUAGUGUGAAUUGCAGAAUUUAGCGAAUCAUCGAAUCUUUGAACGCACAUUGCGCCCCUUGGUAUUCCAUGGGGCAUGCCUGUUCGAGCGUCAUUUCAACCCUCAAGCACUGCUUGGUGUUGGGCGUUUGUCCCGCCUACGCGCGUGGACUCGCCUCAAAGUCAUUGGCAGCUGUUCCCCUUCGGCUCGUAAGCGCAGCACAGUCGGCGCCCGGAGCUCUGGUGGGAUGGCGUCCAGCAAGCUAUAUUUUCAGGCUUGACCUCGGAUCAGGUAGGGAUAACCGCUGAACUUAAGC
This 307-nucleotide unclassified non-coding RNA is filed under the name plant metagenome. Its description in RNAcentral is "partial contains 5.8S ribosomal RNA, internal transcribed spacer 2, and large subunit ribosomal RNA". The stretch from base 1 to 105 matches the Rfam family "5.8S ribosomal RNA", at positions 50 to 154 of the family's 154-position model. The record is from RNAcentral.